AACAACAACAACAACGAUCACAAACUGAGCAACAAACAGAGAAAACCACAGAAGAUGAAGAUUUGUUGCCAAAAAGAAAAGGAAAGUCAGUUAUCAGGAAUUAUUUUGGUUACAAGAAGGUGUUCUGUGAUCAUCUGUUUCCACAAUAACGUCCAGAACAAUAAAAGCUAAAAAUAUCGCAAAAUCGCAUCGUGCUUGAUGUGUAUAGUCAGGCGCGUCAAAAUUCACCUCAGAAUAUUUCGUAAUUUCGCGUCGUAUAUUUGCAUCGUUCCCCAUGUGUAAGAACAUUAAGUCACAAGCUCAUCAAAAAUGUAUCUAGUUAAGGUUCCUCUGAAGUUACUCAGUAGUGCAGAUACAACACAUUCCCAACAACAAACAUCAUUUACCAAAAAAUACUUGCGCUCAUUUUCAUAUGCUGAAUUUGUUACGAGGAAUAACACACCUGUUCGCUUCCUGACCACAGACCAGGAUGUUUUCCUCAGCCCUCUGGCUUCAGUUUAUACCCAGCAAGGUCUGGUUAAAUCUAACCAUGCAUCUAUUAUUGCCAGCAUGAUCCAGUGUGAUGUUUUGAAAAUAAUCCUCUGUAGACUUAACUUUGUCACUGUUUUCUGUUCCUCGUACACUUUUCUGUGCGGUGUUGUAGAAGUUCUUAAAAAGGUGACAUCUUCCAGUGUUUAGGACUGUCCCUGUCCCAGCAACAGCGGCGCAGGUGACAGGUACAUGCUGCAGUUUUAGCUCACCUGAAAACCCCAAAUGUGAUUACUGUAAGCCAUUCCUAUCAUGACAACCAUAUUGGUGCAACAUCACGGCUUCUAGCAAUAUCUGCUGCAAUGUUAAGUCUAUGUUUGCACCUGAGCAGAAUGGACAUUUGACAGUAAAAGUCAGAGCAGGUGCUUUUACAGUGAGGCUUUAGUCUGCUAAAACGGUUUUGAUUUUUGCAAAUUUCUGAUCUGUCACAGAGCGCUCAGAAAUCCUUUUUAUACCGAGCCAGGUGCCGCUUCAUAUGAACCAAAUCAUGAACACUUCAGCGCGGUGAAACGCCGGUUGGCAGACAGUUUUCAGCCUGCUGGUUUUAGCUGUGAGAGGUAGACAGCGAGUCAGGGAGGAAGUGAAGGGUUGUGCUUUAAAAAAAGGAGAUUAAAAUUUGAUGCUCCAGAAGAAAUGACCACAAACUGAAGUGAAAUAUAGACAUGUGUUGCUUUAUAUUGAACUAUAUAAUGAAAACUGUUAAAAACACGAGUCACUGUGAGACCCGGGUAUUCUGUUGCUCUUUCCUCCUCAUCCUCGUCUCGUCUCACUCUUUUUUUCCUACUUGUCUCCCCCGUCUCACCCCAGUGACAGUAAACAGCCCCCCUGCUGUUCGUCUUCUAUUCCAGCCUCCAUCCUGAUUCCCCCUUUUCUCCUCUGUCUUUAUCCCUCUUCUCUCUGACAUCAGCAGGUCAGGCUAAAAGCUAAAGGCGCUCUCCAGACACAGAUAAAGAGACAUGAGAGGGCCUGAACAAUCAGAGGUCUCAGAGAGGAGAGGGACGAUGGGGUCAGGGUGAUGAGGAUGACAAUGACGAUGAUCACAGCAGAAAGAAACCUCUGAUGAUGGAGUUUAAUGUGACAAAUACAGUCACAAUAUGCAGAUUAGUGAGGACCGGGUCAAAAGAUCGGGUUCCUAGAUUUUCUUCGGACUGUUGCACUAAAUAUUAAACUAAAAUAAAUGUACAGUUUUAACAUCAUAGAUAAAAAUGACAAAUAUAAAUGAUAUAUGGUACAAAACAAGACAGUCCAGUCUCAUUAGUAUGUGCUACAGUAUGCAACAAGACUGUAAGAUACAAUACAAUACAAGACAAUACAAUGUGUUUAGGGCUGCAACAAUUAAUCGAUUACGUCGACACAAAAAAUUCAUCGACACGAAAACUUAAGCGUCGACGCGUCGUGUUAUUGUUGUUGAAAAUCACAUGCCGGCGCCUCAUGCUCAUCUAUAACUGCAGUGCACUACAGGAUGUGCUGGGGGGAGUAGCGCUCGCUGUUUACAUCCCGCGAGUAAACCUAUGGCGCAAACACAGAAGAAGAAUGCACACAUUAUGGCGGAAGAAACUGAAGAAGACGCUCCAAAACUCCGACCCAAAACUUAAAAAGUUUUGGAACAUUUUACGGAGAACAAACCAAAAAAACACGUUGAGUGCAAGCUAUGCAAAGCUCAGCUUUCCUACCAUGGCAGCACCACGGCGAUGCACGAGCACCUGAAACGCCGACACCCCGGAAAUAGGUGUUUAUAAAUAAAGAAGAUAGUUGUGAUCAAUCGAAAGAAUAAUCAAUAGAUUAGUCGACAACAAAAAUAAUCGUUAGUUGCAGCACUAAAUGCGUUACAAAAUAAACAUUUUAAUACGCACAAUACUAAACAAUUCAACAAAAUAAGAAGAGAUGAAAUGAUACUAUAAAGUAAAAUAUAGUAUGAUAGGAAACAAAACUUUAAUAUGAUUCCAGUCAAUACAGCGUGACUGGGCCAAUCGGCCGAUCCCAAUACCAAGCAGGUUGACUGAUAGCUGAUGCAUAAUGCUAAUGUUGUUUUUAUAUAUAUACACACAACUAUUUGAUUAUACCAAAAACGGAGAAUCAAACUCGUUGAACUUCAGUGAACAUUUUAUCCAAUAAAUGUGGAUGGAAAAAUAUUUAGUUCUGUAAAAUAUUACCACAAAAGACUUUUGGAGUUCUGUCCAGCCAGACAGUAAAUAUUAGGGUUAAAUUAAAAAAGGGAAGUCAGGAUGAUUAAAUUGAUUUUUCAUACUCAUAAUCUGAUAUGGUGAUACAAGCCUUGUGACUGCUGACGCACAUAUUGUCAGAAUACUAUUAAUCUGUGUGAUCAACAGUUUACGGCCGCCUGUUUCUAAAAUCUCAGCAGUGACUGUAUGACAAUGUUUAGAUAGUGAUCGAAUCUACCUUGCCCACGUAUCGUCAUUGUGUAGAAAACACUGGCAGUGAACCCUCUCCUCAAAAUCAGGUAGCGCCCUCUGCUGUUCAGAAGCAGGUACUGUGGUUCAUUUUCAAUCUCACUGAUAGAAAUGGUCCUUUUAUGCUUUUCAGGCCCAGCGUCACACCCAUGAUCCGUUUUUAAAAACACCCAUUUUUACGAUGAAGACAUUUGAUUUAACCCACAUUUGAUCUUGUUUACCUCUCACCAGGCGUGUUUGUGAGUGUUUUUGUGCAUAUUGAAGUGUGUACAGUAGAAAUGUAAAAUCUGCCUGUCAGAUGAAAAUAAGAAGGAAAAAUGACUCUUAGUUCUCGUCAUCUCACUCUCUGUGGGGGCAGGACGACUUCCUGCAGAGCUCGGACAUGCACAAUCGCACACCCACACACAGACAGGUCAAAGCUCCUGAAGCUUUAGUGGCCACUGGAGGGGCAGAAAUAAUGACGUCCAUAAUGUCUCCCUACAGCGGGGGAGAGAGGGGGAGUCAGAGAGGAAGAAAGUGAGGGAGGAGAGAGAGAGAGCACUUUCCUCUCCUCGACUGUAGGAGUCCUUUUGUCGCUCGCCCUGCGGGGGCUUUUAGUCCUUGCCUCCAACUUAUCGGCUGUCCAACCACGAGGGGCGGGCGCCUGAGAGGGUUCUGGAGCAGGAUGGAGGGGGGGGGGGAUUGAUACUGUGAAAUGCUCCAGCUUUUCUUCUGGGUUUUGAGGGAGAGGGGGCUUUGUGUGCACAGAGAGGUCAGAGCAACAGUCGAUCGCCCUCCCUCCCUUUCUCUUUCUUCCUUUCUUUCUCUUCAACGCUUUUUCUCUUUCCCUCCGUUCCCCGUGAUUGAUCUAUUUUUCACUUCUCUUACAGUUGCGUGUUUGCAGCCAUUCAAAAUGUGAUUUUUAAAAAUCAUAGGCACCUGCAAAUUGAGCGUUAUGUGGCGCACAGACACGCACACACCUUUCUAAUCUUCUGGGAAUUAAAUUAAAUGAAUCAUUGGCUGAUUUUCAAGGCCAAAAGAAGCUGAGGCACAUUUUUAUUCUUGUGUGUUGGUGUGACAGCAUUCAUUGUGGAGAUAUACGGUGAUUCUGCUCAAAAAUACCAUCAAGUUCUAGCAGCCUGAUCUUUGAAUGUUGGUGUUUUUUUUUGUAAUUCAGAUUUUUAUUUAAGCACAUGCAGUAACAGCUCAGAGUGGUACAUCGUACAGAAACCAGGAGGGCCUCCGUCAAAGGGACACAUUUUCUCAAAUUUCGGUAGAUCCUGUCAAAAGGAAUUUAACCGCAAAGAAGUCGUAAAGCACAGAAGUAGAAAACAAAAACAAAUAAUAUAGUAGUACAUAUAUAUACCUAUACACAAAUAUAUUGUACAGAAACAAAUAAUCCGAUAGUAAUAAUGACAACAACAUUAAAAAUAAAUAAAGUAAGAAAUUAGGUAGUCAAACACUUCUUCAAGCAGGCCUCACCAUCACAGCUCUGGUUAGAAGUUAGAUGUUCCAUGAAACAACCCCAAACCUCCAGUUCCACAUGACCUUUACCCCUUAACCUCACCAACCUCUGGCGGCUGAAGUUAACCCCACGAUCAGAACAGAGAGUAUGUUUUUUGUUAGGGUUGGGAUUUCUGACAUAUCUCCCAAAAGAUAUAAACGCGGUGAUAAUGGCAAGGCUACUUCACACCUUUAUGCCAGCAUAAAGGUGUGUAAGGACCUUUAUGCUGCUGCGUUCCAGUUACCUCAGAAGGCGAAUGUCAGCGCUGGGAAGCACAGAACAUCCAAGUUGACGGUGUUCCAGUAAACAAGUCGGAAAACGACGCAAAUAUAUGAUGCGAAAUUAUGAAAUAUUUGGAGGCGAAUUUUGACGCACCUGACUAUACACAUCAAGGAAAAAAAGACGUGUCCCGGAUGGAAGCGAGAAGACUGACCCAACAGCAGACUGACUGUUUUCAGUUCUGAUUAGACUCUAGUGUUGAGAUGUCUGUCUGUCAUGAUAGCAUGUACUGAGUCGGGGUCAGUACCAGAUAAGAACAUUAAACUAUAAUCCAUAAACGUAAGGUAACAACCGAGACCUAAUGGUGCUGUGACAGUGAAAAUACAUAUGGUAUGUUGUAUCUGAACAGGUUAGCUUACGAGCUAAAGUUACUUAGCACAGAUGAAAGUUAAAACAAAGACGUUUAUCAAACUGUUAAAGCACACAAACCAUCGUCAUAUGAGAAAUCCAACGCCAUGACUCUCCACAAGUCGUCCUUCAGGUCGUUUUCUUUGUAAUGUUUGUGUCUUUUAUCAAAAAUCACUCUGUUCUCCGACACGUAAACAAUCAGCCGGUCGGCCAUGUUGGAUAUACCGGUGAAUCUGACGUCGCAACAACACGCAAUCUGAUUGGUCAGAAGUGGACACACAGUGUGUGAAACUUUAGAAAAUUCGACCAUGAUAUGAAAAAAUAAAUGCCGCAAUAUCACAGAACGGGAAAAAGUCGCUGAUGUGAACGCUUGUAUUGACAGGAUACGGGUUUGAAAAAAAAUAUUGACGUUUGAGAUACGGGCAUGAAAAAAACGCUCCCGGUGUGAGAGGACCUUAAGACGUUGGGUAUUACAACAUUAUUUAAUUUCACAAAAACAAAACAGAAAUGCUAAUAAAUAAAACAUCACAAGAGUUUUCCCUGUUACUCUUGACUGUUGAUGCACCGCCCUCUUGGAUUUUGACAUUGUCGUCAAAUCGGGAUUGGUGAGGAUUGUCGGACUCAAAGCUAAUCCACAAAUUAACACCCUUUACACCUUGUAUUUUAACAUAUAUGAUUUGCGCUUAGCAUUCAGUCAGUAUCAGGAACAAGGGUAGAUCAUUUUUUCUGCAGGGUAUCAAAACUUGCUUAACUGGUGUUGGAUCACAUAACAAACGGGGCGGGGCUUAGAGUUGUCAGGAAGUGAAUGGAGUUGGUGCAAGCAGGUAUGUUUGCACCCCAUGUGUACACAUAAAGUGUGCAGUGUGAGUUUACAUACAUGUAAUGCAUACGUGUGUGUAUAUGUGAAUGUGUGUGUGUGUGUGUGUGUGUGUGUGUGUGUGUGUGUGUGUGUGUGUGCUUGUGCUGAUUAGAUGAUUAUUUCUAGAUGGGAUAAGUGGCUGAAAUAGAGACUCUGUUGACUGUUGUUUGGGUAAUAAUACACACACUCACACACACAGUCAUGCACGCCACGCCAGAUUGCAUUACCUGUCCCUUUUCAUAGCAGCAUAAUGAGAUCAUGGAAACCCUAAACGGACGGAUCGAGGGAAUCGAAACAGAGAGAGAGAGAGAGGCCAAGUGACAUCGAAGCACAGUGAGGAAAAGAGAGAGAAGAAACUGAGGGGACGAUUAUGAAAAGUUGUGAAAUACAGUUUAGUUCUCCCCUAAAUUCUGUUUUUAAACUAUCUUUCUUUGGUGUAUUUGAAAAAGAGAAAGUAAGUGAAAUGUAAACAGAAAAAGGGAGGGAUGGAGAUGGAAGGAGAGGGAAAAUCUGGCUGCUCACCGGCUUAUAUUGUUGUUUAAAUGUGUCCAAACAGAGCAGGCUCAGGUGUCAGAGAAGGGUAACAGGAGAUCCAACAGACCACACCUUUGACAGAGGUCCCUCUUUAAAUGCACACAGAACAAACUCACUGAGAGUAUGGAAGAGAAUACAGUCAGACAGACAGAUGAGAAAUUAAUAAAUGAAAUGUCAGAUUUCACUUGUUGUGAAGUACUUUCAAACCGUGUCAUAAAAGAAUGGACAGAUUUGAGCGCUUUUACUGCUAGAUAAAUGUCUUUUAAAACUGUCAGCACUCCUGUUCUUGUCCUCUCCUUCAUUGUGCUCAUUCUGUCCUUUGGCUUUUCAGACACACAUGAAAACAAAACACCUGCCUCCUCCCACUCCUCUCCUCGCUCUCUACCUGUGGCUUUGUGCUGCUGUUGUUGUCCACAAUCAAUCUCAGUUUUCUCCCAAAACCUUGUUUCUUAUUCAUCUAUUUGAUGAGAAGAGGCAAUAUAAUAUUGUUGCUACAACUUCUGCAUAAAGUUCAAGUAUUUGUGGGAUCAGCAACUCAGAGAUGCUCUCACCAGCUCUGUUCAAACAGCCCUUUAAGAUCGCAAAGAUUAAUCAUUGUAUCUAAACGUUUGGUUGAAGUAAGAGUUUUUUUCUCUUUUCUAACCGCUGCUUUCAAAACCACUUACACCUUUGACAAAAACUGUAGUUUCACUGUUAUUUUUUUUAAUACAAAUAAUGCCAAAUACAUCCAGUUAUUAGUCGGGGGGAAGAGCAGCAACUCCCACAUUCUUGAAGUUAGAAUUCAUUUUUUUGUCAAUGGGGUUUGGUGAGUUCUGUCAGGCAUGUUUCUGGUCAAAACCAGAUCUUAAGUCAACCAAAAGGGUCUCACUUAAAAAAUUAAAAUAAAAUAAAAAAGACGUCAUCGCACCACCUACACCGUUUGAUUGACAGGUGAUGUCUAGGAAGUGCGUCCCCCUAAAAAUAGCAGUUUCAUCGUUUAAUCUCCAGGAAGACGAACCUGCCAAAAAGUGCCGCAGUGAUGGAUUUGAGACGAGGUUCUCAGCUCCUCCACGCUUCAUUAUGCAGCUUAUUCUCAUCACACUGCCCUCGGUGAACGGCUGACGCAACAGUCAGCAAGAUCACUCCUUCACUCCCCUCCUCUUCCUCCUUUCAUCCCACUCUUUCCUCCUCCAUUCCUCCCCUUCUUCUCACCCUCUUUCCUCGUCUACUUUGUCCUCUAUGUAAACUUUUUCCAGUGCUCGUGUCACUUCUUUUUCAAUCUUUUCUCUUCUCUUUGUGUGCUUCCAGAAAAUUGAUUCCUUGCUGAGUUGUCUGAUCUCUUUUUGUGCUUAUUCUCUGUCAGCUCUUAUUUCUUUACAAACUCACAUUCGUCCUUAACCUUUUUUUCAUCUACUAUCGUUGUGUAUUUUUGGCAGAUUUUAUAUCAAUACUAAGGCCCGACCGAUUUAUCGGUGAGCCGAUUAAAUCAGACAGUUUUAGCCCAUUUGAGACUAAUUGGUAAUUGGCCAAAAAUCGUUGAUUUCGCUGAUAUUUUCAGAAAUAAAAUGCGGAGAAUAAGAUUCGGUUUCACUUCAAAAAUGUUCCGCCAUUUGAAAAGUUCCCCGACUUAUCCUGUAGAUGGCGCAGCGACCUCAUGACAAUCUCAGGGACGCACGGAGGAGAGUGGUCCGUCUUAACGGUAAAUAAACCAGUUUGUGAAAUACACAAUAAGUCAACAAGUUUCACUUCAACCCGCUUCACCAUGUUCCCCGCUGUGCUGGUCUCGGUCACGCCGAGUUAACGGUGAAGCACCAUGUAAUAUGAAGCUAAAGUUAGAGUUAGCCAUCUGCUAUUAGCCUUGCUACACUGUUAGCCGUGCCAGUAACGGUAGAAAAAACAACAGAACACAUUAGUGAUUGAGCUACUUCUCUUACUGAGGCAGCUGCAUGUCUCCAGAUGAGACCGGACGCAAGUUAAGACGCGGAGGCACCAAUCGGCGUGGGGGGAAGUGAAAACGCUUUUCUGGUGAUCAGUCGGUCUUCCUGCCAGCGUGAAGAGCAGUAGCCUACAGUAUAUCUACAGUAUAAUAUAGUUUACUGUAGAUAUCUGCAGUGUAUAUAUAUUUUUAUAACUUCAUAAAAAAUUUAAAAAAUCAUCCGAUUAACCGGUAAUUGGACCCCCCCCCCCCCCCCCAAUAAUUGGUAUCGGCAUCGGCCCCCAAAAAUCCAUAUUGGUCGGGCCCUAAUCGAUACCAUUAUAAACUCUACAUCCUGAUCAUUUAUUUAUCCUGAUCAAUUAUUUAUCGAUCAUCAGUUCUUGUGGAUUAUUAACACAGUUUUUAUAAUUACUCGUAAUACCUUCACUUUUUUGGUGACACAGGGAAUUCUGGUUUCUGAUUGGCCAUUUAACGGUCAGCUAAUUGCAGAUACGGCCUCUGAUUGGUCUACAGAUGCCUUAUCUUAGCUGGAUAGCUCCUGUCUAACAGUGUUACGUCAUGUGUUUGCAGUGCAUGUGGAGAGUAUUGAUUAGGGAACUACCAAGGAUAGAAGCAAAUGAUAACUGUGACUUAGACCAGGAGGAUCCAAAUCUUGAUCCUCUCUCUAGUCGCUCACUUUCUUCAACCUUCGUUCCCUCAUAUUUUCCCCAAUCUUUGUCUCCAUCCUUCCUUGAACUGUUUGACUUCUUUUUGUGUCCAUCAUUCUUUCUUUUUUUUGGUUCCUUUAAAAAAAAUCUCCAGACUUUCUGUUUUACCUUUUUUUUAAAAUAAUUUUUCUUCCUUCCUUCUUUGCGUACUUGAUCAUGGUUUUCCUUCCUUGUUUCAUCUUUCCUCCUUUUAAUUCUUUAAGGAUGUCAUUUUAUAUCCCUGACUUUGUAUUUUACUUUCUUAAGUACUCAUUGUUACCUCUAUUUUAUCCUUUAGUUUUAAAUACUUUUAGUCUUUCCUUUCUCUUUGCGGUCACUCCUUUCUAGUAACCUUUCUUGCUUUUUUUCCCUCCUAUUCCUUUUCCCAGUUUAUCUUCAUUUUCCUUUUUUUUACGUCCUUGAACAGUUGCAGUCUCUCUCUCGUUCGUUUUUACUCCUCUUAUCCUUUGUUCCUGUCUCCUACUUGUUUUCUAGAUAUUUCCUACCUCCUUUGCUCUCUCCUCUUUUCCCUCCUUGUUUCCUUCAUACUUUUUACCUCCAAACAGUUUCCUUUUUUUCUUUGUGGUCACUCCUUUUUCCUUCUUACACCCUUCCCUCCCUUCUUUCUUUUUUCUAGUCUUACUCACCUUCCUUUAUUCGCGCCUUUUUUCUCACUGUCUUGCCUUCUUCUCUUUAGUAACUUUUACUUCUGCUUCUUUUUCGCUUCUCUUUCCUCCACUUUUCAUCAGUUGCUCCUUCUUUUGUUCUUUCUAUUUUAAAAUUUUCCUGACUUUCUUUUCACCGCUUCCUCUCUUUUUUGUUUUUCUUUCAUCCUUCAUUCCUUGAUGCCUUUUUCUCCUCUUCCAGUCUCGACCACAUUUGCGUUUCUCUCCUCUUCUUUUUCUUUUGUAUCCUUUCUUUAUUCUUCACCAUCUAUCCCCCCUUCUUAUUACUCUCCUUAUCUUGUUUGCUUCCUUCCCUCCUUCCUUUUUCCUCCUUCUAUCCUUGGCACUUUAUUUUUCCUUUUUCUUUCUUCUUUCCUUAUACGGCAUCCUUCCUUCAUUUCCUGAUAACUUUCUCUUCUUCCCACUCUUUCCUUCUCUUCUGUCCUCCCUCCAUCUUUCUUUCUUCCUCUCUAUCUCCAUCCUUUUUUCUUCAUACAUUUUUUUUCUCUUAGGGAAUGUGUGAUGAGCCUGCAGCUAAUCCCAUCCCUAAAGCACCUUAGCAACGCUCGCUAAGGGAAUUUGGAGGGCGCUACACAAAAUAAAUCACACACACACUCGUUUAUACACACACACACACACACACACACACAGACCCAGCGAGCAGCCCCCUGUUGGCAGCGGCUGGCUUCAGGAUGCUCUAAUACAUCUUCAAAUGUGCUUUUUAAAGCGUUCGGAGCGGCUCUGUUGUCGGGCGAUAACUCCCCACCGGUUAAAGGAUGGAUGCUCCCGCUCGUCCUCCUUCUGUCUUUUCUCAUCCUUCCACAUCCCUCACUUCCUCCUCUCCUCCGACCGAGCUGUCGACUUUAAAGAAAACAAGAGAAAGUUUGUGUCUCUGAACAAUAGAGGCAUUGUUGGGAAGUUUCCUCCUGCGAUGUUUGACACGAGUGAGGAGUCUGAAGCUGGUUUCACCUCAUGCUUCUGUCGCCUGAAUCACUCUCCGUCUCCAUCAUGGCAUUCACAUUUAAACUACGGUCUUUUUCUGGCACAGAGGACGCAGAAUCUCAGAGAAGACUUUAACUCACCGACUUGUAGUGGAAACAUCUGUGAAUAGAUGUGCAUAAAUCACUGAACUCUACUCACUCUUUUAACAUUAUUCAGUUUAUUGUUUACUGUUUGACACUGACUGUACUCACCUGAUUUUGAUUAUGUCUUCACUUCCUUUAACGGGUACAAUGGAGGUGCAGCCAUUGUAUAAAGUCAAUAUGGAGUACCUGCAGAGCUUAAGUUGGCAAAUAGAGAAAAUUAAAGAGCAUCAGGUGAAUGUGAUGGUGUCCCCAGUUGUCUGGAAAGACAGACGUAGAAAUAGUUGCUGACCGAUAAUGGUUUCUCAAAAGCUGUUGACAAUCACAGAGCUGGUUAACCAAUAGAGCAAGGAGAUUCAUCAGAUUUUAAUGUGGAUUUUAAUUAAAGUCCUCCAUGAUCACAAAUAUUUGAUAACCUGAGAGAGGAGAGCAGGGAGAGGAGGAAGAGGUAGGUUUGUUUUUUACCUCCGCCAAGGAGGUUAUGUUUUCGGUAGUGUUGGUUUGUUUGUUUGUUUGUUUGUCUGUUAGCAACUUUACGGAGAAAGUUACAGACGGAUUGACCUGAAAUUUUCACCCGAGGUUCGUCUCAGCCCCAGGAGGAUCCCAUUACAUUUUGGUGGUGAUCCGGAUCGCCUUCUGGAUCCAGGAAUUUUUUGAUUCUUUAUCAUUGUGAGAUAGGGCAAAUUUAGGAAUUUUUGCAUUUAACUCUAUAAAAAUGUCCAGAGUCUUUAGUAAAAAAUGACACUAAAGGAUCUCAAUGGUUUUAUGAGGUGUCAAAGGUUGAUCCUGAUCCAGACAAAAUUCUGGAUACUGUGAUCCAGAACACACAAAAAUAAGGGUGUCGUUGGAAUUUUCAAUGCUGAAAGAUAACCAAUGGGCGGCACAGUGGUGUAGAUAGGCGGUACAGUGGUGUAGUGGUUAGCACUGACGCCUCACAGCAAGAAGGUCCUGGGUUCGAAUCCGGGUCAGGGCAUUUCUUGUUUUAGGAACAUUAUGAACAGUGAACAUACCAGUUUAAACACAAAUAAACGUUAAUAAAAGACACGUAACAGUAAAAGUUUUGGUGUGAAUCACAAUAUAAGGGGGACAUGAGCCGCUUGGAGGAGGUCUGCGCUCUCUGAGUGCUUUUCUAGUUCUCAAAGUUUUGUGGACAUUUAAUGAUUGAUUUGACUGGAGGUGAAAAAGGAGAAUGUACAGGAGGAAGAAAGUGAUUCAGCUCAUUGGUGUGUUUGAUAUUGAGUUGGUGAGAGCGAUGAAAGCAGACACGUGGAGGAUGUUGUAGGAGCUGAGGUCAGAUCAGGUUUACUCACAGGAGCGUUUGUGUUCAUCUUUGAUUUACUGAGUCAUUUCUCCUUUGUCUUUGCUCGAGUGUUUUCCACUCAGUGCCCGGGGCCUCGUAUCCCAGCAUGCACUGCACAAACCCUUCUAUUGUUCCACCUCCUGCAUUGAUGCACUUUUAUGAAGGCUCAACUUUCAGGGACAGAAAACAGGUUCAGAAAGUAAAAAAAAAUAAAAAUAUGUAUCAUUCAAAUUGGGUGUAAUCACAGUAAACAGAUUAAGCUGUAUAGGUGAUAAGAUUAGUGUGUGUGUUUGUGUGUGUACGAGUGUGUGCGUGUAUGCAUGUGUGUGUGCUCAUACUCUGAGGCUAUAAUGAGAAUCUGUAAAUACCCUCAGACUGAAUCCCUCUCCAUGUUUAAUCUGAGUCCACAACUAGGAGCUGCCAGCACAGAUCAUCCUCCUGUACACACACACACACACACACACACACACACACACACACACACACACACACACACACAUGCGUAGACAUACACCUACACACACCAAACACAGGGAUAAUUCAAUAUGCAACAUCCGCAAAUGACACAGAAACAGGAAAAGCAUGUAUAGAUGAAACCAUAUACUCCAGCAGAUCACACACACGCACAUUAAACACACACACACACACACACACACUCGCAGGCCUAUGGAAGUGGAUCAAGGAGGUGGGUGUCUGUAGGAAUCUUGAGCCAGGCUAUCGCUAACAAGCAUGCUCCCCUCUCUCUCCUUUAUGCACUAAAUCCCUCCACUCCAUGCAGCAGAUUAGCAUAUUGUUUUACCCAAAUGCACACACACACACACACACGUUUACACACACACUCAUAGUGAUAGACCGACACUUAAAGCUGCGUGGCCCAAUUGAAAAUCUGGAGUCAGUCAGUUUGAUCAGUGGUGAGAAACACUGACUGAGAUGAGGACUCGGAAAGACUUAGUGACACCUUUUUAACAGCAUCUUUGUGGAGAGCCAAGACAAGUAUCAGAGUCUGAUGUUUGGUUUCCUACAGGUCUGACAAAGUCUUCAACUAGAAUUCUCAAAAUAUCCUCACAAACAUUUUUUAAUGACACUCUGGAAAAUAUCCGUAAAGUUUCAGGGGUUUUAUCCUGUAAAUCCUGACUGUAGGCAGUUGAAAAAGCUUUUUUGAUCCGAGUUUGAUCAGUCAGUUUUCCUAUCAGUGUUAAGAGCAGUAGCCUACAGUAUAUCUACAGUAUAUGUUGUAGAUAUCUACUGUGGAUAUCUACAAUAUAUAUGUAUUUUUUAUAACUUAAUAAAAAAUUACCAAAAAUCGGCCGAUUAAUCAGUAAUCUGACCCCCACAAUUAGCAUCGGCCCCAAAAAAUCCAUAUCCGUCAGGCCUUAAUCCUGACUAUGGUGUUCACAGUGUGAACGUGUUUGGAGGGAUGGGGUGAGGGUGUCACUCCAGCUUCAUUCCGGUUUUACUGACCUGCUUAGUUGGCAAACGACCUUGUAUCCUACUAAUUUGGAGAUGAAUUUCAACUAGGCCUGAACGAUAUAUCGUUUGACUAUCGUCAUCGCGAUGUACGUGUGCGAUAGUCACAUCGCAGAGCCUGCGAUAUUGAAGGUGAAUGAACUCAUUUAAUUUCAAGGGUAACCGACUGAGAUACACUCCAUGUGACUCUGCAUGUGCUGUGCAGCGAUCCACCAAUCACCUUUGUCCUUUACUCAGUUGCCAAUCAGACUUACUUCUCAGUUGCCAAUCAGACUACCCUGCCAGCUGUCAAUCAAAAUCAGGGAGGAGGAAACCCACCCCUGCACAUGUUCUGCACAUGGAGGGAGACGUGUGUCCGCUGAGAAUUACUUUCGGAACUUUACUCAUCACUGUUUAGCCCAACAAAUAAGAACUGUAUGGGUUUUAAAUUGUACAUUUCCGUGGACCACUCUACUAUAAGCAGUGCGCGUUUUGCGAGGUGCAUGCAAUUCUCGGAGGACAUGUGUUUCUCGGCACAACACCGCUAACAACAACAACAACGAUCGCAAAAUGAACAACGAACAAGCGGAAACCACCGAAAAUGAAGAUUUGUUGCCAAAAAGAAAAGGAAAGCCAGUUAUCUGGAAUUAUUUCGGUUAAAAGAAGGAUGAUGUCGACCAAAACACGUCUUCUGUGUUCACCUGUUGCAACAAUAACGUCCCAGCACAAUAAAAGCUAAAAAUAUCUCUGAGACAGACAGAAGCCAUUCUACUAACAUUCACAAAAAGAGGUAAGA
Molecule: long non-coding RNA, 14332 nt
Filed under: Xyrichtys novacula (pearly razorfish)
Lineage: Eukaryota; Metazoa; Chordata; Actinopteri; Labriformes; Labridae
Source: RNAcentral